RNAcentral lists this unclassified non-coding RNA (392 nucleotides) under soil metagenome. Its description in RNAcentral is "partial contains 5.8S ribosomal RNA, internal transcribed spacer 2, and large subunit ribosomal RNA". The stretch from base 1 to 122 matches the Rfam family "5.8S ribosomal RNA", at positions 35 to 154 of the family's 154-position model. The record is from RNAcentral.
GAUGAAGAACGUAGCGAAAUGCGAUACUUGGUGUGAAUUGCAGAAUCCCGUGAACCAUCGAGUCUUUGAACGCAAGUUGCGCCCGAAGCCAUUAGGCCGAGGGCACGCCUGCCUGGGCGUCACACGUCGUUGCCCCCCCCAUCUACUCCUUCGGAAUUGCGGGGGGCGGAUGAUGGCCUCCCGUGCGCCUCGCCGCGCGGUUGGCAUAAAUGCCAAGUCCUCGGCGACGCACGCCACGACAAUCGGUGGUUGCGAAACCUCGGUUGCCCGUCGUGUGCGGUCGUCGCGCAUCGAGGGCUCGAAAAAAUUGCCGAGUUCCGGCUCGGCUUUCAACGCGACCCCAGGUCAGGCGGGGUUACCCGCUGAAUUUAAGCAUAUCAAUAAGCGGAGGA